RNAcentral lists this ribosomal RNA (492 nucleotides) under uncultured bacterium. RNAcentral's name for it is "partial 16S ribosomal RNA". It matches the Rfam family "Bacterial small subunit ribosomal RNA", at positions 29 to 507 of the family's 1533-position model. The record is from RNAcentral.
AGUGAACGCUGGCGGUAGGCCUAACACAUGCAAGUCGAACGGCAGCACAGUAAGAGCUUGCUCUUACGGGUGGCGAGUGGCGGACGUGUGAGGAAUACAUCGGAAUCUACUUUUUCGUGGGGGAUAACGUAGGGAAACUUACGCUAAUAUCGCAUACGACCUACGGUUGAAAGCAGUGGAUCUUCGGACCUUGCGCGAUUGAAUGAGCCGAUGUCGGAUUAGCUAGUUGGCGGGGUAAAGGCCCACCAAGGCGACGAUCCGUAGCUGGUCUGAGAGGCUGGUCGCCCACACUGGAACUGAGACGCGGUCCAGACUCCUACGGGAGGCAGCAGUGGGGAAUAUUGGACAAAGGGCGGAAGCCUGAUCCAGCCAUACCGCGUGGGUGAAGAAGGCCUUCGGGUUGUAAAGCCCUUUUGUUGGGAAAGAAAAGCAGCAGGUUAAUACCCCGCUGUUCUGACGGUACCCAAAGAAUAAGCACCGGCUAACUUCGUG